GGACAACCUACCCUUCGGUCCGGGAUAAUCCUGGGAAACUGGGGAUAAUACCGGAUGGGCCACAUAUGCUGGAAUGCUCUGUGGCCGAAAGCUUUUGCGCCGAAGGAUGGGUCUGCGGCCUAUCAGGGUAGUAGUGGGUGUAACGUACCUACUAGCCUACGACGGGUACGGGUUGUGAGAGCAAGAGCCCGGAGAUGGAUUCUGAGACACGAAUCCAGGCCCUACGGGGUGCAGCAGGCGCGAAAACUUUACAAUGCGGGAAACCGUGAUAAGGGGAUCUCGAGUGCCAGCAUAUAAUGUUGGCUGUCCAGAUGCCUAAAAAGCAUCUGUUAGCAAGGGCCGGGCAAGACCGGUGCCAGCCGCCGCGGUAACACCGGCGGCCCGAGUGGUAACCGCUAUUAUUGGGUCUAAAGGGUCUGUAGCCGGCCAGGUAAGUCCCUUGGGAAAUCUGGCAGCUCAACUGUCAGGCUGCUAGGGGAUACUGUUUGGCUUGGGACCGGGAGAGGUGAGAGGUACCUUGGGGGUAGGGGUGAAAUCUUGUGAUCCUCGGGGGACCACCAGUGGCGAAGGCGUCUCACCAGAACGGGUCCGACGGUAAGGGACGAAAGCUAGGGGCACGAACCGGAUUAGAUACCCGGGUAGCCCUAGCCGUAAACGAUGCUCGCUAGGUGUCAGUCACGGUGCGACCGUGAUUGGUGCCGUAGGGAAGCCGUGAAGCGAGCCACCUGGGAAGUAUGGCCGCAAGGCUGAAACUUAA
RNAcentral lists this ribosomal RNA (757 nucleotides) under Methanosaeta sp. enrichment culture clone SA4-49. RNAcentral describes it as "bacterial SSU rRNA". It matches the Rfam family "Archaeal small subunit ribosomal RNA", at positions 102 to 859 of the family's 1478-position model. Lineage: Archaea; Methanobacteriati; Methanobacteriota; Methanomicrobia; Methanotrichales; Methanotrichaceae. The record is from RNAcentral.